Non-coding RNA from Chloroflexi bacterium RBG_16_50_11, 118 nucleotides. The record is from Rfam. NCBI's taxonomy places the organism in Bacteria, Bacillati, Chloroflexota.
CUUGGUGGUUAGAGCGAGGUGGCCCCACCCGUUCCCAUCCCGAACACGGAAGUGAAACGCCCCAGCGCAGACGAUACUGAGGGGACAACCCUUUGCGGAAAAUAUGCCACUGCCAGGA